This 492-nucleotide ribosomal RNA is filed under the name uncultured bacterium. Its description in RNAcentral is "partial 16S ribosomal RNA". It matches the Rfam family "Bacterial small subunit ribosomal RNA", at positions 29 to 507 of the family's 1533-position model. The record is from RNAcentral.
AGUGAACGCUGGCGGUAGGCCUAACACAUGCAAGUCGAACGGCAGCACAGUAAGAGCUUGCUCUUACGGGUGGCGAGUGGCGGACGGGUGAGGCAUACAUCGGAAUCUACUUUUUCGUGGGGGAUAACGUAGGGAAACUUACGCUAAUACCGCAUACGACCUACGGGUGAAAGCAGAGGAUCUUCGGACCUUUCGCGAUUGAAUGAGCCGAUGUCGGAUUAGCUAGUUGGCGGGGUAAAGGCCCACCAAGGCGACGAUCCGUAGCUGGUCUGAGAGGAUGAUCAGCCACACUGGAACUGAGACACGGUCCAGACUCCUACGGGAGGCAGCAGUGGGGAAUAUUGGACAAUGGGCGCAAGCCUGAUCCAGCCAUACCGCGUGGGUGAAGAAGGCCUUCGGGUUGUAAAGCCCUUUUGUUGGGAAAGAAAAGCAGCAGGUUAAUACCCCGCUGUUCUGACGGUACCCAAAGAAUAAGCACCGGCUAACUUCGUG